This 480-nucleotide ribosomal RNA is filed under the name uncultured bacterium. RNAcentral describes it as "partial 16S ribosomal RNA". It matches the Rfam family "Bacterial small subunit ribosomal RNA", at positions 28 to 523 of the family's 1533-position model. The record is from RNAcentral.
GACGAACGCUGGCGGCGUGCCUAACACAUGCAAGUCGAGCGAAUGAAAUUCCUUCGGGAACGGAUUUAGCGGCGGACGGGUGAGUAACACGUGGGCAACCUGCCUCAUAGAGGGGAAUAGCCUUCCGAAAGGGAGAUUAAUACCGCAUAAGAUUGUACUACCGCAUGGUACAGCAAUUAAAGGAGCAAUCCGCUAUGAGAUGGGCCCGCGGCGCAUUAGCUAGUUGGUGAGGUAACGGCUCACCAAGGCGACGAUGCGUAGCCGACCUGAGAGGGUGAUCGGCCACAUUGGGACUGAGACACGGCCCAGACUCCUACGGGAGGCAGCAGUGGGGAAUAUUGCACAAUGGGGGAAACCCUGAUGCAGCAACGCCGCGUGAGUGAUGACGGCCUUCGGGUUGUAAAGCUCUGUCUUCAGGGACGAUAAUGACGGUACCUGAGGAGGAAGCCACGGCUAACUACGUGCCAGCAGCCGCGGUAA